GUCUACGGUUGUGCCACCCUGAACAAACCCAAUCCCAUCUGAUCUUGGAAGCUAAGCAGGGUCGGGCCUGGUUGGUACUUGGCUGGGAGACCACUCAGGAAGACCAGGUGCUGUAGGUG
This 119-nucleotide ribosomal RNA is filed under the name Pteropus alecto (black flying fox). Lineage: Eukaryota; Metazoa; Chordata; Mammalia; Chiroptera; Pteropodidae. RNAcentral also lists the same sequence under 1 other name. The record is from RNAcentral.